This 378-nucleotide ribosomal RNA is filed under the name Triticum aestivum (bread wheat). Its description in RNAcentral is "partial small subunit ribosomal RNA". Lineage: Eukaryota; Viridiplantae; Streptophyta; Magnoliopsida; Poales; Poaceae. The record is from RNAcentral.
AUGGCUGGGCUCGUCAUCUCCAAGGCUGGUGGAGGCUUCUCCAUCACCAAGUCAUGUGCUUCUGGACGUCCUAAGGCUGUUGCGGCUGGGCGCCCCAAGGUGACUCCGGCGGCCAGAGCGGCUGAACUGCUGGUGUGCCGCACUCUAUGCAUCGUCAAGGAUGGGCAGGAUGUCACUGCUGCCGCCCUGGACGCUUUCGCUAAGCGUUUCAAGGAGCACCUGCCACCAGAUGUAAUCGUAGCCAUGCGAGGAUUGUUCAAGCUCGAUUACAAUAGCGCUACGGGCAUGGAGGAGGCCUUCAUUGCGCAUGGAGGUGAUGGUGCACUCGACCUGGAGUCGAACGACGACGGCAUCGUGGCUCAGCUGGCUAAUGCUUGA